This 43-nucleotide ribosomal RNA is filed under the name Bactericera trigonica. Its description in RNAcentral is "partial 28S ribosomal RNA". The record is from RNAcentral. Lineage: Eukaryota; Metazoa; Arthropoda; Insecta; Hemiptera; Triozidae.
CGACCUCGGGCUGUACGGGACUACCCGGUGGAUUUAAGCAUAU